UGAUUUUAUUUUCAAAAAUGA
This is a non-coding RNA of Caenorhabditis elegans, 21 nucleotides long. The record is from Ensembl. NCBI's taxonomy places the organism in Eukaryota, Metazoa, Nematoda, Chromadorea, Rhabditida, Rhabditidae.